This 420-nucleotide ribosomal RNA is filed under the name bacterium. Its description in RNAcentral is "partial 16S ribosomal RNA". It matches the Rfam family "Bacterial small subunit ribosomal RNA", at positions 355 to 776 of the family's 1533-position model. The record is from RNAcentral.
UGGGGGAUAUUGCACAAUGGGCGAAAGCCUGAUGCAGCGACGCCGCGUGGGGGAUGAAGGCUUUCGGGUUGUAAACCUCUUUCGCUAUCGAACAAGGCCCGCUUAGGGUGGGUUGAGGGUAGGUGGAGAAGAAGCGCCGGCUAACUACGUGCCAGCAGCCGCGGUAAUACGUAGGGCGCGAGCGUUGUCCGGAAUUAUUGGGCGUAAAGGGCUUGUAGGCGGCUUGUUGCGCCUGCUGUGAAAACGCGGGGCUUAACUUCGCGCGUGCAGUGGGUACGGGCAGGCUUGAGUGUGGUAGGGGUGACUGGAAUUCCAGGUGUAGCGGUGGAAUGCGCAGAUAUCUGGAGAAACACCGAUGGCGAAGGCAGGUCACUGGGCCAUUACUGACGCUGAGGAGCGAAAGCAUGGGUAGCGAACAGG